GGCCGCCGCCGCCAUCAGUCACCGAGGUAGGGUAGGGAAGAGACGUUCGCCACCGCUUCAAGGCCUGGGCCCAGCCAGUGGGCAGCCACAGCAGAGGCCUCCGGUAUCUGCAGGGCAGAGGGCGCGGCCUGUCCCGGGGCGCCCCCUAGCUCACCCGCCGACCCGGGGCCGGAGGGCCUGGAGCGCCCUGGAGGAGCGGCCCGCGCUCUGCGUCUCUCCGCGCUCUCUGCCAGACCGGAACUCUUGCAGUGAUUUCUUACGGGGAGUAAGGAUGAGGUGGGGAAUGAGACUGAAGAAAUGGAAUUAAAAAGAUAACUAUAACUAAAUAAAGAGGAGCCCUGCAGUAAUGUAAUGAGCCAUGAACUGAAGAGUAACAUUUAUUCAACUCUGCCUGUGAAGGAGGGAGAGGGAAAGACAACUAGAGACAGAGGAGAAACGGAAAAAGGAGUUCUCUUCAGAAGGGGCUGAGGAGGAUGGAAAAUGAAGACUCUCCCAAAGGGUGGAACCAAGAGCUGUGGAGGACAAGGACACCAGAGCCACUCCCAGUGAACAGAACCACAGCCUAAUCAAGGAACAGACUCUAUCACAAAAUCAAGAGGAGCUGGAUCAAGCCUCAGGUAGAACAUGAGGUGCUGGACUUUAAGAAUGAUGACAGGAUGGAUGAAGAAACAGAGACACCAUGAAGAUAAGACUGAUAUGGU
Molecule: long non-coding RNA, 701 nt
Filed under: Homo sapiens (human)
Lineage: Eukaryota; Metazoa; Chordata; Mammalia; Primates; Hominidae
Description: HSALNT0333333
Source: RNAcentral